AAAAAAGCCGGAAUAGCUCAGUUGGUAGAGCAGAGGACUGAAAAUCCUCGUGUCA
This 55-nucleotide transfer RNA is filed under the name Scorpidium scorpioides. RNAcentral describes it as "partial tRNA-Phe". The stretch from base 7 to 55 matches the Rfam family "tRNA", at positions 1 to 47 of the family's 71-position model. Rfam says of the family: Transfer RNA (tRNA) molecules are approximately 80 nucleotides in length. Their secondary structure includes four short double-helical elements and three loops (D, anti-codon, and T loops). The record is from RNAcentral. Lineage: Eukaryota; Viridiplantae; Streptophyta; Bryopsida; Hypnales; Amblystegiaceae. RNAcentral also lists the same sequence under 1 other name.